GUGGGGAAUAUUGGGCAAUGGGGGAAACCCUGACCCAGCGACGCCGCGUGAGGGAAGAAGGCCUUAGGGUCGUAAACCUCUGUUGUGUGGGAAGAAGAGCGUGACGGUACCACACGAGGAAGUCCCGGCUAACUACGUGCCAGCAGCCGCGGUAAUACGUAGGGGACGAGCGUUGUCCGGAUUUACUGGGCGUAAAGGGCGCGUAGGCGGUCAUUUAAGUCAGCUGUGAAAUGGUUUGGCUUAACCGGAUCAUGCGGUUGAAACUGGAUGACUGGAGUGCUGGAGAGGCAAGUGGAAUUCCCAGUGUAGCGGUGAAAUGCGUAGAUAUUGGGAAGAACACCGGUGGCGAAGGCGACUUGCUGGCCAGUAACUGACGCUGAGGCGCGAAAGCCAGGGGAGCAAACGGGAUUAGAAACCCGUGUAGUCC
Molecule: ribosomal RNA, 427 nt
Filed under: uncultured bacterium
Lineage: Bacteria
Description: partial 16S ribosomal RNA
Rfam family: Bacterial small subunit ribosomal RNA
Source: RNAcentral